CUUCACCUUGACACCGUUUAGAUGAAGCCGAUAUCGAAAGAAAAGCCGGCGAGCGAAUGCGCUUGGAAGGAAUCGACGGGAGAGAAAGCAUUUGAAGAAGACGAUCCAACAUCGCCGUUUCAAUCGCCGGUGACCUCUUUGUGAAUAGGAUUAUUUUAUCGAGAUAACAAUGGAAUUUCUCCGUGUUUCGGUUGGUUGCACAUGAUCAUUAGAUGUUGACAUGAUGCAUAAACCGGUUUUGAGCACAGUGCUUAGUUGUAAUUUCCCCAUCUCCACACCCUUGUAAUUCGAUUGCCUUUAAGCAUCGCCGUCCACCUCACAUAGCUUACUCUUAGGCUUUCUUACAAUGAGAUGAUUCUCUUACACCUACACUCAUACAUUGCAUUGCUUGUUGUUUGGGCCCGAUUUAAUUAUUUCAUUACUUUGAAUCCCCAUUUGACAAAAUGUACCCCCACUCCCAUGAUGUGUAAUAAUUCUUUACUAUUUUAUUUCUUUA
Molecule: long non-coding RNA, 496 nt
Organism: Lathyrus oleraceus (garden pea)
Lineage: Eukaryota; Viridiplantae; Streptophyta; Magnoliopsida; Fabales; Fabaceae
Exons: 2
Source: RefSeq, a predicted model, not a curated record